RNAcentral lists this ribosomal RNA (276 nucleotides) under uncultured prokaryote. Its description in RNAcentral is "partial 16S ribosomal RNA". It matches the Rfam family "Bacterial small subunit ribosomal RNA", at positions 524 to 800 of the family's 1533-position model. The record is from RNAcentral.
UACGUAGGGGCGAGCGUUGUCCGGAAUGACUGGGCGUAAAGGGCGUGUAGGCGGCCUGUUAAGUCUGGAGUGAAAGUCCUGCUUUCAAGGUGGGAAUUGCUUUGGAGACUGGCGGGCUUGAGUGCGGAAGAGGUAAGUGGAAUUCCCAGUGUAGCGGUGAAAUGCGUAGAGAUUGGGAGGGACACCAGUGGCGAAGGCGACUUACUGGGCCGUAACUGACGCUGAGGCGCGAAAGCGUGGGGAGCGAACAGGAUUAGAUACCCGCGUAGUCCCUGA